AUGGAGAACCAGUGCCUUCAUACAGCCCUACCUCCAAAACUGUGUGAUGUUACCGUCAUCCACGGCGAAGAAACAAGGGUUCAUCCAAGCGACCUGCACUGGCAUCUCGGCGACCUCCUAAAGAACAAGGACGCAGCAGACCUAACCUUUCAAGUCGGUGGACAGACAUUAUCGGCUCACAGGUGUGUCCUAGCUGCUCGGUCAUCCGUCUUCAAGGCGGAGCUUCUCGGCUCCAUGCAGGAGAGUUCUGCCGCAAGUCCUAUUGAAAUCCGUGACAUGGAAGCUGAUGUGUUCAAGUCCUUGCUCCACUUCAUAUACACCGACUCUGUUCGUCCAGUGCUUGACGUAGUGAUGGCCAGCCAUCUGCUCGUCGCCGCUGACAGGUACAACAUCAUGAGGCUGAAGCAGAUAUGCGAGGAGAAAUUGUGCAAUCACAUUGAUUCCAACAUGGUGGCAACUUAUUUGGCUCUAGCCGAACAACAUGGUUUCAGUCGUCUCAAAGAAGCUUGUUUCCAAUUCCUUGCUUCUCCAUCCAAUUUGGAGGCUAUGAUGGCGAGUGAUGGUUACCAGCAUCUCAAUUCCAGCUGCCCAUCUGUUCUCAAGGAGCUCAUAGCUAGAAUCAUGCCGGCUGAACUGAAUACGGCAAAGGAUAUCAUCAUGAUAUAA
RNAcentral lists this ribosomal RNA (666 nucleotides) under Triticum aestivum (bread wheat). Its description in RNAcentral is "partial small subunit ribosomal RNA". The record is from RNAcentral. Lineage: Eukaryota; Viridiplantae; Streptophyta; Magnoliopsida; Poales; Poaceae.